Molecule: long non-coding RNA, 307 nt
Organism: Salvia miltiorrhiza (redroot sage)
Lineage: Eukaryota; Viridiplantae; Streptophyta; Magnoliopsida; Lamiales; Lamiaceae
Exons: 2
Source: RefSeq, a predicted model, not a curated record
CACCAUUUUCCUCCAUUGAUGCACCUUCGAAGCUUCACCAAAAUAUGCCAAACACAUAAAUCACCAACAAAAUCCCACCUUAAACACCUUCCAUCUCCUUAGAUUCAAGAAGAUCCAUGGAGAUUCAAUCUUGAAGAUAGUGAGAGAAAAUUUGAUAUUUGGUGUAAACUUGGGCUAAGCGAGGAGUGAGAUUGGUCUGGUGCUGGUGGGGGAUCGUUAGAUGACGUAUUUACUUUAUCGUAUUUCCUUUUUAUCGAUAAAGUCUUGAUGUGAAGUUACUUUGAAUAUGAAUCAAGUAAUAUACUCA